AAUUUGUGCGGAAGUGGCGAAAUUGGUAGACGCACCAGAUUUAGGUUCUGGCGCCGCGAGGCGUAAGAGUUCAAGUCUCUUCUUC
This 85-nucleotide transfer RNA is filed under the name Vibrio cholerae O395. RNAcentral describes it as "tRNA-Leu". It matches the Rfam family "tRNA". Rfam says of the family: Transfer RNA (tRNA) molecules are approximately 80 nucleotides in length. Their secondary structure includes four short double-helical elements and three loops (D, anti-codon, and T loops). Lineage: Bacteria; Pseudomonadati; Pseudomonadota; Gammaproteobacteria; Vibrionales; Vibrionaceae. The record is from RNAcentral.